UGACAUGAUGAAAUUGUGUUGGAAUCUCGUUCGGCUGAAUUGUCGCUGUUGAGAAUCGGAAUCUGAGCAUC
Protobothrops mucrosquamatus (brown spotted pit viper) is the source of this 71-nucleotide small nucleolar RNA. RefSeq annotates it as small nucleolar RNA SNORD30. The record is from RefSeq and is a predicted model, not a curated record. NCBI's taxonomy places the organism in Eukaryota, Metazoa, Chordata, Lepidosauria, Squamata, Viperidae. The transcript has a single exon.